RNAcentral lists this ribosomal RNA (245 nucleotides) under uncultured Flavobacterium sp. Its description in RNAcentral is "partial 16S ribosomal RNA". It matches the Rfam family "Bacterial small subunit ribosomal RNA", at positions 524 to 768 of the family's 1533-position model. The record is from RNAcentral. Lineage: Bacteria; Pseudomonadati; Bacteroidota; Flavobacteriia; Flavobacteriales; Flavobacteriaceae.
UACGGAGGGUCCAAGCGUUAUCCGGAAUCAUUGGGUUUAAAGGGUCCGUAGGCGGUUUUGUAAGUCAGUGGUGAAAGCCCAUCGCUCAACGGUGGAACGGCCAUUGAUACUGCAAGACUUGAAUUAUUGGGAAGUAACUAGAAUAUGUAGUGUAGCGGUGAAAUGCUUAGAGAUUACAUGGAAUACCAAUUGCGAAGGCAGGUUACUACCAAUAUAUUGACGCUGAUGGACGAAAGCGUGGGGAG